Perognathus longimembris pacificus (Pacific pocket mouse) is the source of this 490-nucleotide long non-coding RNA. RefSeq lists it as uncharacterized. The transcript is spliced from 3 exons. The record is from RefSeq and is a predicted model, not a curated record. Lineage: Eukaryota; Metazoa; Chordata; Mammalia; Rodentia; Heteromyidae.
CGUUAGCACAGUUACCGCCGGAGGGAUAGGUGGGAGUCUUUUUCGGGGCUGUGGGCAUCCAGGCCGCCCCGGGGACCGGGACAGUGGGCGCGCGGCGGUCUUGGGCGCACCCGGGGCACAGCCAUUGUCACUUGAUAGUUGAGGAGACAUUGAAAAGAGGAAAGGGGGGUGACCCGAGAACUGAGAAGCCCUGCAUAGCAGAACAGUGGUGUCACAGGCCACAGCAGGCUGAGCCAGUCAAGACAGGAGCUCAGUCCUGUUCCCCGGGUUGAGAUGCACCUCUUGGAUGUCUCCAAAGCACUGCAAACUCGACAUGUCUCAAAACCUGGGUAAUUCCUAAACUCAUCUGGCUGAGGUGCCUCCAAGCCAUCCUGUUCCAGGAGGUAGAAACAGUGGCAGCACACUUAACCCCUUUCUCUCACUCACCCACUGAAAACCUUUUGAAGCUGGAUGCUGGUGGCUCCUGUAAUCCUAGCUACUCAAGAGGCUG